RNAcentral lists this long non-coding RNA (1609 nucleotides) under Anas platyrhynchos platyrhynchos (common mallard). RNAcentral describes it as "lncRNA (ENSAPLG00000021630.1)". Lineage: Eukaryota; Metazoa; Chordata; Aves; Anseriformes; Anatidae. The record is from RNAcentral.
GUUUUACUCACCAAUCCUGCCUUCAUUCCCUCUCUCAUUUCCAUUUUUCAGUGCUUCAUCUUACUACGCAAUGCUUAGUGCUCUAGCCCCCAGAAACAAGUUGUUUCCAGGGGAAUAAAACAAAAAGAAAAAUGAAGAAACAAACAAAACCAAACCAAAAAAUCCACAUCUAUUUUUCUAUCUCUCAUGUGUGUAUUAAAAGAAUGUUUUUCACUUUCAUGGUUUCAGGGAAAACGUGAUAACAUGGUCCCAGUGCGUGUUCCCCAUAAGCUCAAAAUCCAGAAGUUUGAAGAUCCUGAUUUCUAAUCUUGGGUUGUGACUUCAGCAGGUAUGACUUACUAUUUUUCAAUUACAUUUGUUUUUCUAACAUUGCUUAACAGAUUUUUUUGGAGCAUGUGAAUACAUUCUUCCAGUGACUCCUGUUUCCUCAUAGAAAACAUUUCCUCAUUUCCUUUGUAGAAAAUUACAGUUUGUUAUCUAGCUGCUUAUGAAGAGAUGCCCGUUCCUUUUCUUACACUUGCACAUCCAGACACCUGACAUCUUCUUCCUGGUAAAGGGCUAGACAGAGACCUUCUGAGAAGCACUGAAAGAAACUUUCAUUACCACACCAGUGUUUUCACAAGUCUCCUGUGCAGUCUGGAGCCAAGUUGUCCAUACCAUCUUGAAUUUUGUUACAGGGUCUCAACCUGGCACACUGACUGAUUUUCACUUAAACUGAUGAAGCAGUCAGGUUGGAACUCAAAUUGAGAUUGAUACCUCUCGUUCAGGGGCUUAUACAUAGCUGAUGAGAACCCACCAGUAUAACUUAUGGUAUCUUAUAUGCAUUCCCAGUGCUGCCACAAGGAUAUAGCUAUCGACCCCGUGUUGCAUCUGCCACAACAGUGGGACUCUUGUAUCCGUGAUGUGUUUCAAUGGCAUUGCAUGGCCAUGUGUAUCAUGGCUGAACGUAUCUCCAGAAGCAAAUGCCAAUGCCUGGAACGUUUCCAAAUCAUAUAGCUCUAUCAAAGGAGAAAGAAACAUGGAGGUGCUUGGAAGGUGGAGAUUCCUUGAAUGAAUGCAAGUGGACUGCACAGAAUUAACAGAACUAUAAUGACACACAGAAUUCUGCAUGCCUGAAGACAGAUUUUGUCUUUGGCUUCAUGGGAGGAUUAUUUCUGCUUUGCUUAUGGGCUUGAGAUAUGAAUACACAAAUGGAAAUGCCCUGAGACAGAAAACUUGAAUGUAAACCUGAAAGUUAGAGCAUUGGGGCAUUUGUGCAACAACAAACAGCUUUCUCAGAAAUAAUUUGGUUUGUGCAGGGAAGAAAUUACUCUGUUUUGGAACUAGAGAGAUAAGGGAUUAAAGGGUUAGAUGGUCAAAAAUCUGUUGGCAUGUAGGGACAUGUACAAUUUUUCCAAUCUAGAAUUUUUCUAAUUUUUGCAAUCUAGGGACAUGUAGAAUUUUUCCAGAACAAUCUGUUUGUAACUCCAUUGCCUUAGAAAUAAGGAAACUUACUUGGAUAACAUCUACAAGCUAGUAAAAUCCAAUUCUUCAAAUUUAACUGUAGAACUCCCAUUGGAGUCCAUGAUACCAAUAUUUUAACUUAAGGAUAUCCCAGAACAAAAGUAAC